Molecule: long non-coding RNA, 858 nt
Filed under: Equus asinus (donkey)
Lineage: Eukaryota; Metazoa; Chordata; Mammalia; Perissodactyla; Equidae
Description: lncRNA (ENSEASG00005029022.1)
Source: RNAcentral
UUCAAAGGAAUAUGUUACGAACAAGGAAACAAACACUUCGCUGGCCAUCAUCUCCUACUGCGAAGGUGGUCUCAGAGCAUUGAACGUGGUGUAGUCCAUCUCUUACCUGGAGUCCUCCAGGUAGUGGGCUCUCGGCACUUGAUGCUCCAGCUACCUGGGUCCUGCAGCUUUUCCCUGGUCCUGACAGCUGGGUGAAGAGGACAAUUUCUGAUCUGCCUUUGACAGACCAAGUUGCCUCUAACCUGCUGCUACAAUGAACAUCUUUGUGCCUGUCCCCUUAUGAACCUGGGCUCAAGUUUCUCUGGGAUGCACCCCUGGAAUGGAUUACUGGAUCAUAUUCAUUUCCAUUUGUCAACUAUCUGAUAACUUUGUCUCUGAUGCCUUUCGUGGAACAGAAAUCUUUAACUUUAAUUCUGUCAAGUCCAUCAAUGUAUUUUCCAUAUGAAUUGUGCAUUUGAGUUUUUAUUAAAGUUCUCUUUACCUCUAGAUUAUGAGGCUAUUUGGUUACACAUUUUUCUUUUGGUGUAGCCAAACCUGAUGCUAAGAAAAGAGAGACAAUUUAGAGACAACAACAAAAACGUUUUUUUGCAGUGUCUUUUAUGUCAUGGGGUAACUCUACAAAUUUAAAUGGAAACCAAUGCCCAGAAUUGUUUUGAGACGUUGUGAACUUCAGCUUUAUCCAGUUUUGCCUAUUGCUGCCAGGAAAACCAAGUGUUUUCAGGUGCUCUUUUUCCCCACCCAAAGGAAGAGAAACAGAAAAAAGAGAAAUACAGUAUAUCAGGAGUCCUUUCCGCUUUGCUUUAUUAUUAAUCAUAGCAGCUUCCCAGGGCCUUUAAAAGAGUUUUCUUAAAAGUUCUG